Molecule: ribosomal RNA, 468 nt
Filed under: uncultured bacterium
Lineage: Bacteria
Description: partial 16S ribosomal RNA
Rfam family: Bacterial small subunit ribosomal RNA
Source: RNAcentral
GACGAACGCUGGCGGCGUGCUUAACACAUGCAAGUCGAACGGAAAGGCCCUGCUUUUGUGGGGUGCUCGAGUGGCGAACGGGUGAGUAACACGUUAGUAACCUGCCCUUGACUUUGGGAUAACUUCAGGAAACUGGGGCUAAUACCGGAUAGGAGCUCCUGCUGCAUGGUGGGGGUUGGAAAGUUUCGGCGGUUGGGGAUGGACUCGCGGCUUAUCAGCUUGUUGGUGGGGUAGUGGCUUACCAAGGCUUCGACGGGUAGCCGGCCUGAGAGGGUGACCGGCCACAUUGGGACUGAGAUACGGCCCAGACUCCUACGGGAGGUAGCAGUGGGGAAUAUUGCACAAUGGGCGGAGGCCUGAUGCAGCAACGCCGCGUGCGGGAUGACGGCCUUCGGGUUGUAAACCGCUUUCGCCUGUGACGAAGCGUGAGUGACGGUAAUGGGUAAAGAAGCACCGGCUAACUACGUG